This 258-nucleotide ribosomal RNA is filed under the name uncultured bacterium. Its description in RNAcentral is "partial 16S ribosomal RNA". It matches the Rfam family "Bacterial small subunit ribosomal RNA", at positions 524 to 778 of the family's 1533-position model. The record is from RNAcentral.
UACGUAGGGUGCAAGCGUUUAAUCGGAAUUACUGGGCGUAAAGCGUGCGCAGGCGGUUUUGUAAGUCUGUCGUGAAAUCCCCCGGGCUCAACCUGGGAAUUGCGAUGGAGACUGCAAGGCUAGAAUCUGGCAGAGGGGGGUAGAAUUCCACGUGUAGCAGUGAAAUGACGUAGAGAUGUGGAGGAACACCGAUGGCGAAGGCAGCCCCCUGGGUCAAGAUUGACGCUCAUGCACGAAAGCGUGGGGAGCAAACAGGAU